RNAcentral lists this ribosomal RNA (497 nucleotides) under uncultured bacterium. RNAcentral describes it as "partial 16S ribosomal RNA". It matches the Rfam family "Bacterial small subunit ribosomal RNA", at positions 28 to 507 of the family's 1533-position model. The record is from RNAcentral.
GAUGAACGCUGGCGGCGUGCCUAAUACAUGCAAGUCGAGCGAACAGAUGAGGAGCUUGCUCCUCUGACGUUAGCGGCGGACGGGUGAGUAACACGUGGAUAACCUACCUAUAAUACUGGGAUAACUUCGGGAAACCGGAGCUAAUACCGGAUAAUAUAUUGAACCGCAUGGUUCAAUAGUUAAAGACGGUUUUGCUGUCACUUAUAGAUGGUUCCGCGCCGCAUUAGCUAGUUGGUAAGGUAACGGCUUACCAAGGCAACGAUGCGUAGCCGACCUGAGAGGGUGAUCGGCCACACGGGAACUGAGACACGGUCCAGACGCCUACGGGAGGCAGCAGUAGGGAAUCUUCCGCAAUGGGCGAAAGCCUGACGGAGCAACGCCGCGUGAGUGAUGAAGGUCUUCGGAUCGUAAAACUCUGUUAUUAGGGAAGAACAAAUGUGUAAGUAACUAUGCACGUAUUGACGGUACCGAAUCAGAAAGCCACGGCUAACUACGUG